UAACUAAACUAGUCUUAGCCGACUAAUGACAAUGACCCAGAAGAUACAUUUCUCCGCAAAACUCCAAACAAGAAACCUCUAAUUUCAAAUCCUGCAGAAAAAUCUUGUUUAGUUUCAGAAUGGAAAGGAAGAGUACAAAUAGGUGAAUCCAACAGGACUUACACUCUCCUGUCUUUGGUAGGCAUAGGUAAUAUGUUGUUUGUUGGUUUCUUUUUGUGGGUGUCUUUCUCUAUCUUUUAAUUGCUUGUAAUCCCCGUCCAAGACGAAUUUAGUGAAUAAACAAACGGGUUUUUUGGGAGUUU
This 302-nucleotide unclassified non-coding RNA is filed under the name Hevea brasiliensis (rubber tree). Lineage: Eukaryota; Viridiplantae; Streptophyta; Magnoliopsida; Malpighiales; Euphorbiaceae. The record is from RNAcentral.